CCUACGGGUGGCAGCAGUGGGGAAUAUUGCACAAUGGGGGAAACCCUGAUGCAGCGACGCCGCGUGAGUGAAGAAGUAAUUCGUUAUGUAAAGCUCUAUCAGCAGGGAAGAAAAUGACGGUACCUGAGUAAGAAGCCCCGGCUAACUACGUGCCAGCAGCCGCGGUAAUACGGAGGAUGCGAGCGUUAUCCGGAUUUAUUGGGUUUAAAGGGUGCGUAGGCGGGCUGUUAAGUCAGCGGUCAAAUGUCGGGGCUCAACCCCGGCCUGCCGUUGAAACUGGCGGCCUCGAGUGGGCGAGAAGUAUGCGGAAUGCGUGGUGUAGCGGUGAAAUGCAUAGAUAUCACGCAGAACUCCGAUUGCGAAGGCAGCAUACCGGCGCCCGACUGACGCUGAGGCACGAAAGCGUGGGUAUCGAACAGGAUUAGAUACCCCUGUAGUC
This 439-nucleotide ribosomal RNA is filed under the name uncultured bacterium. Its description in RNAcentral is "partial 16S ribosomal RNA". It matches the Rfam family "Bacterial small subunit ribosomal RNA", at positions 338 to 795 of the family's 1533-position model. The record is from RNAcentral.